Molecule: ribosomal RNA, 1058 nt
Filed under: Lactiplantibacillus plantarum
Lineage: Bacteria; Bacillati; Bacillota; Bacilli; Lactobacillales; Lactobacillaceae
Description: bacterial SSU rRNA
Rfam family: Bacterial small subunit ribosomal RNA
Source: RNAcentral
GUAAAACUCUUGUGUUAAAAGAAGAACAUAUCUGAGAGUAACUGUUCAGGUAUUGACGGUAUUUAACCAGAAAGCCACGGCUAACUACGUGCCAGCAGACGCGGUAAUACGUAGGUGGCAAGCGUUGUCCGGAUUUAUUGGGCGUAAAGCGAGCGCAGGCGGUUAUUUAAGUCUGAUGUGAUGUGCCUUCGGCUCAACCGAAGAAGUGCAUCGGAAACUGGGAAACUUGAGUGCAGAAGAGGACAGUGGAACUCCAUGUGUAGCGGUGAAAUGCGUAGAUAUAUGGAAGAACACCAGUGGCGAAGGCGGCUGUCUGGUCUGUAACUGACGCUGAGGCUCGAAAGUAUGGGUAGCAAACAGGAUUAGAUACCCUGGUAGUCCAUACCGUAAACGAUGAAUGCUAAGUGUUGGAGGGUUUCCGCCCUUCAGUGCUGCAGCUAACGCAUUAAGCAUUCCGCCUGGGGAGUACGGCCGCAAGGCUGAAACUCAAAGGAAUUGACGGGGGCCCGCACAAGCGGUGGAGCAUGUGGUUUAAUUCGAAGCUACGCGAAGAACCUUACCAGGUCUUGACAUACUAUGCAAAUCUAAGAGAUUAGACGUUCCCUUCGGGGACAUGGAUACAGGUGGUGCAUGGUUGUCGUCAGCUCGUGUCGUGAGAUGUUGGGUUAAGUCCCGCAACGAGCGCAACCCUUAUUAUCAGUUGCCAGCAUUAAGUUGGGCACUCUGGUGAGACUGCCGGUGACAAACCGGAGGAAGGUGGGGAUGACGUCAAAUCAUCAUGCCCCUUAUGACCUGGGCUACACACGUGCUACAAUGGAUGGUACAACGAGUUGCGAACUCGCGAGAGUAAGCUAAUCUCUUAAAGCCAUUCUCAGUUCGGAUUGUAGGCUGCAACUCGCCUACAUGAAGUCGGAAUCGCUAGUAAUCGCGGAUCAGCAUGCCGCGGUGAAUACGUUCCCGGGCCUUGUACACACCGCCCGUCACACCAUGAGAGUUUGUAACACCCAAAGUCGGUGGGGUAACCUUUUAGGAACCAGCCGCCUAAGGUGACAAGAGGG